RNAcentral lists this long non-coding RNA (406 nucleotides) under Fukomys damarensis (Damara mole-rat). Its description in RNAcentral is "lncRNA (ENSFDAG00000028691.1)". The record is from RNAcentral. Lineage: Eukaryota; Metazoa; Chordata; Mammalia; Rodentia; Bathyergidae.
GUUUUAGUACAGGUUCACGCUGACCUUCCCCUGAAAUUAGUCCAAGUUUUGAUGGAAGGUGGUGAUCCCUCCAACUUAGCAACAAUGGAGGUCUGAUGUGCCUUUGUUGCAGUUGUUCACUUCUCUUCUAUCUUCUGGAUCUCAGUCAAAUUGCCUUUAUGAUCACCUGUGCCUCUGCAGUGUGGAUCCAGAGACUUCAGGAAACCAUGGACCACCCGAUGUCUGGUAAUAUGGCUGGCCACUGAAUGACAGGAGGGACACCCUUGAUCCACAGUGUUUGAGGCAUCUUCAGAGGACAACGAUUCCUGUAGCCCCAGCAGCAGCAGCAGCAGCACCAGAAGCAGAAGCAGGUGGUGUAAACUUUUGCAUAUGAGCAAAAAGUGAGACCUCUAGAAUCCUUGAGGCU